UUCAGAAAGAGGAUAGAUUGCCGUAUGCCGGAACUGGAGUCUUGGCUUUCGAAAGAUCUUUUCCAUUACCUCUGCAGCAAGAAUGACAUCUUCUAAAGACUCAGGAUGGCCUCUAAUCUUCAUGGUCUAAUUCGCUGAUCCUCCAACCAGGAGGCCUCCCCAGGCCUGACAGAAGUGUUUGUAAAGUUUUUCCAUCCCCGAAACACCCAGAUCUUCAUGCGGGUUCUGCGAAGAAGUGGCAAGAACACAAACCCUGACGUCAGCAUCCUGCUCACUGUUCUUGGACUCUAACUCAGAUGAUCUGCAUCAGAUUCUCUGGAAAUGAGGCCACUUCUGCAUUGUUGACAAGUUCCAUGGAUUCUCACGCACGGUAAAGUUGAAGAAUCACUGUUCUCCACAAUUUUGUGUCUGUACCGGAGAAGUUGGCUCAGAGAUGAAGAAGUAACUGGAACAGAAUCAUCUGGCAAAAUCAACUGAGAAAAAUGGAAAAAAGUACCACCUGGUUUCCUUACUGGCAAUAUUUUUAGUGGCAAUAAUACUCAAAUAAUGUGGAUCUCAAUCAAGGUAAUAAACAGAUCCAUCACCU
Molecule: long non-coding RNA, 586 nt
Organism: Chlorocebus sabaeus (green monkey)
Lineage: Eukaryota; Metazoa; Chordata; Mammalia; Primates; Cercopithecidae
Source: RefSeq, a predicted model, not a curated record